RNAcentral lists this non-coding RNA (97 nucleotides) under Halomonas sp. RNAcentral's name for it is "Glycine sequence". It matches the Rfam family "Glycine riboswitch aptamer". Rfam says of the family: This family represents the bacterial glycine riboswitch. Lineage: Bacteria; Pseudomonadati; Pseudomonadota; Gammaproteobacteria; Oceanospirillales; Halomonadaceae. The record is from RNAcentral. RNAcentral also lists the same sequence under 1 other name.
AUCGCGACAGCGGGAGAGUCCGGUUCGUGAACCACGUACCGGCGCCGAAGGAGCAACUGCCCCGGAAACUCUCAGGCCACCGGACCGCCGUCGCGUC